CGCGAGCCAGAGGAGUCGCCGCGCCGGAGCGACCGGGAGAGACCGUUGCACCGAAGGAACGGAGAAUAAAGUCUCAUUUCAAGCAAUAACCGAGGGAGAAGCACUGUCGAGAAGCGGAGAGGGUGGGAGAGACAGGUCGUGAAUGAAGGAGUAUAUAUGUGCAAAAACAGGAAUGCAUAGAAGGAUACAUCUUUGAAAUGCUGAAUAAACGUGUGCCUUGUUCGAUAUCGUUGUCGCAUGAAGGCUUACGCUUUAAUCACGUUUCUGAGGCAACCACUAUCGCCAAGGGGAAGAUAUCCUUAAUACGUCUUGAGGCAAGGAAGUGUGUGCGUGUGUGCGUGUCUGCGCCCGUGUUUGUAUCAGCUGCCUCUUGUGUAAAAUUAAACUUCCUGCCCUCCUGGUACCCACAUCUGCUCUCCUGCGAUACAUUCAUAAUGGAACCUUCGAAAAUAAUAAAUUUGUCCUAUAUCUGCACACGGACCUUCGCGGCCAUUAAUCAUUGUGCUUGUGUAAUCAACCUUACUACACGAGUUAGAGUAGAAACGCAGUGUGGAAGACUCGUGUCGCAAACGGCUAAGUGAAAGGAGAUUUUUUGCAGCGCUUCGAAUAUCAAAUAAGCCCGAACAAUAAUAUGGAUGUUCCAGGAUAACAAUUCGUGAUCCGACGCGUCGAUCUUACUUAUUUCAGUUACAAGAUCGAGACUGUAUCCUUUCUUAUUUCUUAUCGAUUGCAUUUCGAGUCUUUAAUUAUUAACGAUAAUAACCAGGCAACCGGCCAAGAAGCAGCUGAGGCAAUCCUGAGACGCAGGUGUCGGUCGCUUCCAGAAUGUGGCAGCCAGAGGCAGCAACUCUUAACCACGGCGUGUUGCUGCCCAAUUCGAUCGACGAAGCGGCAAUCCGUUACGCUCGCUCUUCGACUUCUACCCGUACGAGUGUGUAUACACGUGUGCGCGUACGCGACACGCGGAUAAGAGAAAGUUGAAGCCUCACGAAAUCGUCUUUGCGAAAAUGCCGACGAGCAAUCCUCUAUUAUGCAGGCAGAUACAAAUAGACAAAUUGUAUCAAUCUCGCCAACUUACCGUUCUAGACAUCCAGCCGACAUUAUAAAUCGAUGUUGAUAUACUGGGUUGUUCACGUUGAAAACCAGAAACAAGCCA
This is a long non-coding RNA of Harpegnathos saltator (Jerdon's jumping ant), 1156 nucleotides long. RefSeq lists it as uncharacterized. The transcript has 5 exons. Lineage: Eukaryota; Metazoa; Arthropoda; Insecta; Hymenoptera; Formicidae. The record is from RefSeq and is a predicted model, not a curated record.